Ipomoea nil (Japanese morning glory) is the source of this 2521-nucleotide RNA transcript. RefSeq lists it as uncharacterized. The record is from RefSeq and is a predicted model, not a curated record. The transcript is spliced from 4 exons. NCBI's taxonomy places the organism in Eukaryota, Viridiplantae, Streptophyta, Magnoliopsida, Solanales, Convolvulaceae.
CUUCUUCGCCAUCUUCUUCGUGCAUCGUCUUCGACACACCAUUUCCGACGCCACCUCCACCGCUCUACUACAAACCAACGCCACAAGAGCUUUCUUAUACACCGUUUCCGACGCCAUCUCCAUCUACUGAUUAGGUACAUUUGCAACUACCUAGGGUUUUAAAAUUGAGUUUCGAGUAGUUGUUUUUUAUUGCCUAGGGUUCUUACUGAUUUUCGAGUAGUUGUUUAGGAUUUCUUUUCCAGGUUUCAAUUGUUUAAAGUAGACACUAUAUUCAUUACAAUAAAAUUUCAUAUUGUUCUGUUCUAAUUCAAGGAUAGUUCUAAUUCAAGGAUAGUCAUGGUAAUGCUUAGGGGUGCAUCAUAUUUGUCAUACAUAGCUUUCCACAACAUCAUAUUUGUCAUACAUAAACACAACAACCAUUCAUUAUGAUUUAUUACAGAGGGAGAGAUGAGAUCAGAAUUUAGUGAAAGUUGUGUUUUUUUUAUUAAGGUACAUUAUAUCUGUUCAUUAGGUACAUUAUUUUAAUCCACAGGGUACCCUCUUUUUAUGCAUGAUUUAUUUUGUACAUUUUGUAGUGCAUGGAGUUUAUUCUUUUAGUGAAUAUCUUAUUUCUUUGUAGAGCAUAACUGGAUUUAUUCGGCACACCCCACCCCCUCUCUACCUAGAAAUCUGAUAUUCACUAAACAUAAUAUCAAUGGCUGAGUACACUAUUACUAUUUUAAUUCAUGAUUUUAUGAACACUUUUAGUGAAUAGAGCAUCGCUGGAUUUAUUCCCUUAACUAACAUUUUACUUGCAGCAACUAUGUCUAGCCAAGAAGUAGAUUUAUCAUUAAAAGAGGUUACCAAAACCUACCGGAAAAAGAAAAGAUCUACAAGUAAUGAAGAAGACGGAAAUAAAGAAAAGGCCACUAAUAGGACUGUAAAGAAAGAAAAGGCUCCAAAGAAAAUUCAGCUCAAUACUAGGAUGUCACCAAUGGAGUUUAACAAAAUGGUAGCAAAUCUCAGUGAUGAACAAAAAAUGCGGUUAAAGAGAUUGGGUUUGGAUCAUUACUCGAGCUUAGAUUGUCCAGCAUGGACAAUACACUAAAUACAUAUUUGGUAGAAAACUAUGAUGUUUUUAGUUGUUCCCUAAUGUUGGAGAGUGCAAAGAUGGAGCUCACAGAGGAUGAUGUGGAGAGCACAUUAGGUCUCUCCCAAAGGGUGAGGUUGAAGUUGUUGAAGGGAACAACUCAAAUGCAACUAAAGGAUACAAAACCUUGUUGGAGGAAUGGAGAACACGCUGGGAAUUAGACAAUUGUUCUCCAUUGGUGAAAAGACUUGGCCAUGGUAUAGUUGAGAAGAAAGACCACAGGGACAUGUUCAAAAGGGAUUUCGUGGUGUUUGUUGUUUCUAGUUUGUUCAAGGGUCACGUUAAUUGGACAACAAACUUCAAAAUUUUGUACUCAUUGGUAAACGUGAAAAACAUCAAGAAUUUGAAUUGGUGUAGGUACAUUUUUAAUAGUCUUACUACAACAGUGGAGAAAUGGAAGAAGUCAAAAAGUACAUUCUUCACUGGACCAUUGGUCUUCUUGAUGGUUUCAUACCUUGAUAGGAUGCAAUUUAAAGGGCAGCAAAUCCCAAGGAAAUACCCUGCGAUAUCAGUUUGGACAAUGGAUAUGAUCCAAAAAAGAUUAGUAGAUAAAAAGAAUUCUGGUGGGUAUGGCAGGGGAAAAGUCUUGGAUAGAGUUAGGAAAUCGGUUGCUGAGAUUGAAAACAACAACAUUGUUAGGGAUGGGGUGGAGGCACAGGCAGUUGGUGAUAAAGUUAAAAUGAGUGAUGUAGAGAAGAUAUCUAUGGGAAUGAAGAAACUGACUGCAGCCAUAGUUGAAUUUGGGGAAGUAAUGGCUGAAGUUGGGAGCAAAAACACCGGACAAGAAAUUAUAAAGAAGACUUUCAGCAAGAUGUCUGAUAUGUUGAACAUUGCUUCAACUUCCCAGCCUGACAAGACUUCGACAUUAUUGGACGAUGAUCCAAUCUUCAGCAGCGAGAGCUUUCUUGCAGCAGUUGCAUCAUUGGAAAAGGCAGCAGUAGAAGCAUUGGAAAAGGCCACCAGAAUCACCGAAGAACCUGAAACAUUUUCACCACCAAGCUUCAAUUUGUUAACACCUACCCCCCGGAUAUUCAAAAACCAAACGAAACAGCUACCACACUCCCUAGUGAGGAAAGAAGCACAGAAAAGGAACAAACAUUGUUUGACAUUGCACUUGAGGAAUCAGAGAGGGAGAAUGUCCAACAUGGGGAGAGAGAGAAAAGAAAAUUGAAAAAUGUUCUAUUGCGAUUUAUGUCUCCAUAUUGGACGCAAAACAAUGAAAAGUUCUCCUUUGUCUCUACGAGAGAGAAGAUGCUGUUUGAUUUUGCAUUCAUGAACCCCUCUAUUCAACAUCCAAUAGAAUGGAAAUUGAUGAUGCUACUGAACGGAAAAAAGUAUUAUCUGCAGAGGAAAAACAAAGACGAUUCAAUGAAUGUUUGGAUUAUGAGCUUA